UAGCUAAAUGCGGAAGAGAUAAGUGCUGAAAGCAUCUAAGCACGAAACUUGCCCCGAGAUGAGUUCUCCCUGACUCCUUGAGAGUCCUGAAGGAACGUUGAAGACGACGACGUUGAUAGGCCGGGUGUGUAAGCGCAGCGAUGCGUUGAGCUAACCGGUACUAAUGAACCGUGAGGCUUAACCUUACAACGCCGAAGCUGUU
This 202-nucleotide ribosomal RNA is filed under the name Escherichia coli. RNAcentral's name for it is "partial 23S ribosomal RNA". It matches the Rfam family "Bacterial large subunit ribosomal RNA", at positions 2746 to 2925 of the family's 2925-position model. The record is from RNAcentral. Lineage: Bacteria; Pseudomonadati; Pseudomonadota; Gammaproteobacteria; Enterobacterales; Enterobacteriaceae.